GAUGAACGCUGGCGGCGUGCCUAAUACAUGCAAAUCGAGCGAACAGACGAGGAGCUUGCUCCUCUGACGUUAGCGGCGGACGGGUGAGUAACACGUGGAUAACCUACCUAUAAGACUGGGAUAACUUCGGGAAACCGGAGCUAAUACCGGAUAAUAUAUUGAACCGCAUGGUUCAAUAGUGAAAGACGGUUUUGCUGUCACUUAUAGAUGGAUCCGCGCCGCAUUAGCUAGUUGGUAAGGUAACGGCUUACCAAGGCGACGAUGCGUAGCCGACCUGAGAGGGUGAUCGGCCACACUGGAACUGAGACACGGUCCAGACUCCUACGGGAGGCAGCAGUAGGGAAUCUUCCGCAAUGGGCGAAAGCCUGACGGAGCAACGCCGCGUGAGUGAUGAAGGUCUUCGGAUCGUAAAACUCUGUUAUUAGGGAAGAACAAAUGUGUAAGUAACUAUGCACGUCUUGACGGUACCUAAUCAGAAAGCCACGGCUAACUACGUG
Molecule: ribosomal RNA, 497 nt
Filed under: uncultured bacterium
Lineage: Bacteria
Description: partial 16S ribosomal RNA
Rfam family: Bacterial small subunit ribosomal RNA
Source: RNAcentral